GUGCUCACUUCGGCAGCACGUAUACUAAAAUUGGAAUAAUACAGAGAAGAUCAGCAUGGCCCCUGCACAAGGAUGACAUGCAAAUUCAUGAAGAUAUUCAACACAUAUUU
RNAcentral lists this small nuclear RNA (110 nucleotides) under Octodon degus (degu). Lineage: Eukaryota; Metazoa; Chordata; Mammalia; Rodentia; Octodontidae. The record is from RNAcentral.